UUGGGGUUUUUUUGUUUUGUUUUUUCUAAAUAUUAGUAUAAAAAAUAAUAGUAACAUUUAUAUAUGUUCCAAUGACUAAAGUACAUAAUAAAAGUACUAACCUUAGUAAAGGUAUUACAAAUAGAACAUUUAUAUCUAACAUAACAAUUUGCACAUGGAACAUCGGUGGCCUCAUCUCCGCAAAUCUGAAUAAAUUAACAGAUUCUAUUUUUUUUUUAAAUAAUAUAACAGCUUAUGAUAUAGUACUGUUAACUGAGACACAUAUUGGCAAAGAUGACACAAUUUUGACAGACAUAUAUAAACUAUUUAAUAAACUGUACUUUUCUUAAAUAUUUGAAAAACGUG
Molecule: long non-coding RNA, 345 nt
Filed under: Mytilus galloprovincialis (Mediterranean mussel)
Lineage: Eukaryota; Metazoa; Mollusca; Bivalvia; Mytilida; Mytilidae
Source: RNAcentral